GUGCUUGCUUCUGCAGCACAUAUACUAAAACUGGAACGAUACAGAGAAGAUUAGCAUGGCCCCUGCACAAGGAUGACACACAAAUUCAUGACGUGUUCCAUAUUUAA
Gorilla gorilla gorilla (western lowland gorilla) is the source of this 107-nucleotide small nuclear RNA. Lineage: Eukaryota; Metazoa; Chordata; Mammalia; Primates; Hominidae. The record is from Ensembl.